This 665-nucleotide ribosomal RNA is filed under the name uncultured Methanosaeta sp. RNAcentral's name for it is "bacterial SSU rRNA". It matches the Rfam family "Archaeal small subunit ribosomal RNA", at positions 86 to 752 of the family's 1478-position model. Lineage: Archaea; Methanobacteriati; Methanobacteriota; Methanomicrobia; Methanotrichales; Methanotrichaceae. The record is from RNAcentral.
CUGCUCAGUAACACGUGGACAACCUACCCUUAGGUCGGGGAUAAACCCGGGAAACUGGGUAUAAUACCCGAUAGAUCUCGACUGCUGGAAUGCAUCGAGAUCCAAAGCUCCGGCGCCUAAGGAUGGGUCUGCGGCCUAUCAGGUAGUAGUGGGUGUAGCGUACCUACUAGCCUACGACGGGUACGGGUUGUGAGAGCAAGAGCCCGGAGAUGGAUUCUGAGACACGAAUCCAGGCCCUACGGGGUGCAGCAGGCGCGAAAACUUUACAAUGCUGGAAACAGCGAUAAGGGGACCUCGAGUGCCAGGUUACAAAUCUGGCUGUCGUGAUGCCUAAAAAGCAUUGCAUAGCAAGGGCCGGGCAAGACCGGUGCCAGCCGCCGCGGUAACACCGGCGGCUCGAGUGGUAACCGUUAUUAUUGGGUCUAAAGGGUCUGUAGCCGGCCGGAUAAGUCUCUUGGGAAAUCCAGCAGCUCAACUGUUGGGCUUUCAGGAGAUACUGUCUGGCUCGAGGCCGGGAGAGGUGAGAGGUACUUCAGGGGUAGGGGUGAAAUCUUGUAAUCCUUGAAGGACCACCAGUGGCGAAGGCGUCUCACCAGAACGGACCUGACGGCAAGGGACGAAAGCUAGGGGCACGAACCGGAUUAGAUACCCGGGUAGUCCUAGCC